AGGUGCGAUUAUACCAACACUAAAGCAUCGUAUCCUAUCAGAACUCUGCAAUUAAGCAUUGUUGGGUUAGAGUAGAACUAGGAUGGAUGACCUCCUGAGAAGUCCUCGUGUUGCAUGCC
This is a non-coding RNA of Gossypium hirsutum (cotton), 119 nucleotides long. The record is from Rfam. Lineage: Eukaryota; Viridiplantae; Streptophyta; Magnoliopsida; Malvales; Malvaceae.